Molecule: long non-coding RNA, 387 nt
Filed under: Gallus gallus (chicken)
Lineage: Eukaryota; Metazoa; Chordata; Aves; Galliformes; Phasianidae
Description: lncRNA (ENSGALG00010025550.1)
Source: RNAcentral
CUAUGACUAACACUGAAGCUAGGAUCAUCUCUGCUACGAGUAAAGGAUUAUUAGAAUAUCUCUUCAAGCAACCUAAGGCUUCAGAUUUGAGACCUAGCCUUUGCCUCUUAAUCUGGUCAGAGUAUGAAUGAAUGCAGUUCACCAAAGAAGCAAUACUGAAAGUAUUCUCCAAGUUAGCACUUCUGUCACUGACCAGGAAAGAGAAGCCUGAGAUGAAAUGUCCCAGAAAUAGUGAGUGAAGGAAGAACUACUUGGAGUGCUGCAAAAUGUUUUCAAGAUACAAAGACCGCUGUCACAGCUAAGAUAGAAUAACAGUCUUCCCUGCUCAGCUUGUUGAUACUGCGGAGACCUAUACUACAAUCAUUGUUUGACCACCUCAGAUGCAGC